This 580-nucleotide ribosomal RNA is filed under the name Cea pulicaris. RNAcentral's name for it is "eukaryotic LSU rRNA". It matches the Rfam family "Eukaryotic large subunit ribosomal RNA", at positions 389 to 740 of the family's 3401-position model. Lineage: Eukaryota; Metazoa; Arthropoda; Insecta; Hymenoptera; Ceidae. The record is from RNAcentral.
UCAAGAGUACGUGAAACCGUUCAGGGGUAAACCUGAGAAACCCAAAAGAUCGAAUGGGGAGAUUCAUCGUCAGCGUCGUUGGCUUCCGUGCGGUGCGCGAUGGCGGGGACCCGGUCUCGCGUCACGCCGCGCUGCGGCAUGUCCGAUGACGUCGGCGUGCACUUCUCCCCUAGUAGGACGUCGCGACCCGUUGGGUGUCGCCUACGGCCCGGUUGGUCGCCUGUCGCGUCGCGUUCGCGCGCUCGCGGCAGACCACCGUCGCCCGGCCGGCUGCCCGGCGGUAUAGAUCGCUUUACGGUAUUGAGCCGCAUAAGUGCGUUCUGGCUCGUCGGCAGGCUCGCCUCGCCCGAUACGGACCUAGUGCCGUGACCGGACGCUUGGCGCGGCUUUAGUCGACGAUGUCCUCGGACUGGCUCGAACUUCGAAAGGAUAUACCGGUCGGCGACGCUACUGCUUUGGGUACUUUCAGGACCCGUCUUGAAACACGGACCAAGGAGUCUAACAUGUACGCGAGUCAUUGGGACUUGUAAGCCUAAAGGCGCAAUGAAAGUGAAGGUCGGCCUAGUCGACCGAGGGAGGA